UCCGGUUUGACACCGGCAGUCUCGCUAGAGUACUCGCCAUGACGCGUGAGCAACUAACGACAGGGGUUGCGCUCGUUAAGGGACUUAACCCGACACUUCACAGCACGAGCUGACGACAGCCAUGCAGCACCUGUGCUUGUUCCACCCUUGCGGGCGUGGCCCCACUUUCAUGGGGUUAAUCCAAGCAUGUCAAACCCAGGUAAGGUUCUUCGCGUUGCCUCGAAUUAAGCAACAUGCUCCACCGCUUGUGUGAGCCCCCGUCAAUUCCUUUGAGUUUCAACCUUGCGGUCGUACUCCCCAGGCGGGGUACUUCCUGCGUUAGCUUCGCUACUGAAGGGGUCGAUACCUCCAACAGCUAGUAUCCAUCGUUUACGGCGUGGACUAC
RNAcentral lists this unclassified non-coding RNA (385 nucleotides) under uncultured Phycisphaeraceae bacterium. Its description in RNAcentral is "contains 16S-23S intergenic spacer region". The record is from RNAcentral. Lineage: Bacteria; Pseudomonadati; Planctomycetota; Phycisphaerae; Phycisphaerales; Phycisphaeraceae.